GGAAAUCUUCCAGAGGCAUCUGAGCUGCUUCUCGUGAAGUCUAGUUCAUUCUGCAACAAACUGAAGGAUGGACUGUCACAUUUACCUGGAAUAUUCGAGGUACCAUUGACCAAAGGUUCUUCACUUGCAUUAUCAACUGCUUCAUUUGAAGUUUUAGCUUCAUCUUCAACAACAUGAAUAUCAUGAAGAUGGGGAUCUGUAUUGUUCACAGAGUAGAGAUCUCUUGUUCGUUGAUGGUCACCAUUCUUUUCAUGACAAGGAAGAGUUGUUUUAGCAAAAGCCAACCCAUCAUAUGACACUUCGUGGACUUCUUGUUCAUCUGCAAUCAAUUCCGUGCAUUUCUCAACCUUACCUAGAGCAUUUGACUCAUUGCUUUGCAAAUAUGGCUCUAAUUCAGUUACUUUUCCUGGUACAACGUAUAAAUUUUCAUCCUCUACCAUGUCCUUACCUUGUAACUCAUAGUCAAUCUCUUCACUACCCUUGUAGAUAUCAGGAACUUGGAGCAACAACAUCCCCCUAGCUUUUGCAGCAUCAGCAGUUUCAUCCGCUCCAAUAGAUGGCGACUCUUCCCC
Molecule: long non-coding RNA, 572 nt
Filed under: Cucumis sativus (cucumber)
Lineage: Eukaryota; Viridiplantae; Streptophyta; Magnoliopsida; Cucurbitales; Cucurbitaceae
Description: long non-coding RNA (CSAT_LNC000926)
Source: RNAcentral